This 505-nucleotide ribosomal RNA is filed under the name uncultured bacterium. RNAcentral describes it as "partial 16S ribosomal RNA". It matches the Rfam family "Bacterial small subunit ribosomal RNA", at positions 28 to 507 of the family's 1533-position model. The record is from RNAcentral.
GACGAACGCUGGCGGCGUGCCUAAUACAUGCAAGUAGAACGCACAGUUUAUACCGUAGCUUGCUACACCAUAGACUGUGAGUUGCGAACGGGUGAGUAACGCGUAGGUAACCUGCCUGGUAGCGGGGGAUAACUAUUGGAAACGAUAGCUAAUACCGCAUAAUAUUGAUUAUUGCAUGAUAAUUGAUUGAAAGAUGCUAUUGCAUCACUACCAGAUGGACCUGCGUUGUAUUAGCUAGUAGGUGAGGUAACGGCUCACCUAGGCGACGAUACAUAGCCGACCUGAGAGGGUGAUCGGCCACACUGGGACUGAGACACGGCCCAGGCUCCUACGGGAGGCAGCAGUAGGGAAUCUUCGGCAAUGGACGAAAGUCUGACCGAGCAACGCCGCGUGAGUGAAGAAGGUUUUCGGAUCGUAAAGCUCUGUUGUAAGAGAAGAACGGGUGUGAGAGUGGAAAGUUCACACUGUGACGGUAUCUUACCAGAAAGGGACGGCUAACUACGUG